Molecule: ribosomal RNA, 1307 nt
Filed under: metagenome
Description: bacterial LSU rRNA
Rfam family: Bacterial large subunit ribosomal RNA
Source: RNAcentral
GGAGGUUAUUUGUUGCCCGUACCGGAAACCGACACAGGUGGACGAGGGUAGUACCCAAAGGCGCACAAGAGUACCCCUGUUAAGGAACUCGGCAAAAUGCACGUGUAACUUCGGGAUAAGCGUGGCCUCUAGUAGGUGAUGGGGAGAAACCGAAGCUGAAAGAGGUUGCAAAAAGGAGGCUCUGGCGACUGUUUACCAAAAACACAGAUCUCUGCUAAGACUUAAGUCUAAGUAUAGGGAUUGAGACCUGCCCGGUGCCAGAAGGUUAAAGAAGGGGGUCAACGGGGUAACCCGUGAAGCUCUUGACUGAAGCCCUGGUAAACGGCGGCUGUAACUAUAACAGUCCUAAGGUAGCGAAAUUCCUUGUCGGGUAAGUUCCGACCUGCAUGAAUGGUAUAACGACUGGAGCGCUGUCUCAACAGGGGACUUGGUGAAAUUGAAGUAUCGGUGCAAAUACCGAUUACCCGCAGCUAGACGGUAAGACCCUGUGAACCUUUACUGUACCCUGGCAUUGUAUUCUGGCACGUUCUGUGUAGGAUAGGUGGGAGGCUAUGAAGCGUGGGCGCCAGCUUGCGUGGAGCCAACCUUGAAAUACCACCCUUAACGUGUCGGACUACUAACGGAUGCUGUGGAAGCAUCUAGACAGUGUCAGGCGGGCAGUUUGACUGGGGCGGUCACCUCCCAAAGUGUAACGGAGGUGUACGAAGGUUCCCUCGAGCUGUAUAGAAAUCAGCUGAAAGAGCGUAAAGGUAUAAGGGAGCUUGACUGCGAGAGAGACAUCUCGAGCAGGGACGAAAGUCGGUCUUAGUGAUCCGGUGGUUUUUGUAUGGAAAAGCCAUCGCUUAACGGACAAAAGGUACUCCGGGGAUAACAGGCUGAUACCGCCCAAGAGUUCACAUCGACGGCGGUGUUUGGCACCUCGAUGUCGGCUCAACUCAUCCUGGGGCUGAAGUAGGUCCCAAGGGUUCGGCUGUUCGCCGAUUAAAGAGUUACGUGAGCUGGGUUCAGAACGUCGUGAGACAGUUCGGUCCCUAUCUACUGUGGGCGCUGGAUGUUUGAGGGGAGCUGUUCCUAGUACGAGAGGAUCGGAAUGGACGUACCUCUGGUGCACCAGUUGUCGUGCCAACGGCACAGCUGGGUAGCUAUGUACGGAAGGGACAACCACUGAAAGCAUCUAAGUGGGAAGCCUCCCCCAAGAUUAGAUAUCCCUUAAGGUUCCAGGUAGACUACCUGGUUGAUAGGUCGCAGGUGUAAGUACAGUAAUGUAUUCAGCCGAGCGAUACUAAUAAACCGUUUGACUUGCCCCU